RNAcentral lists this long non-coding RNA (3420 nucleotides) under Sus scrofa (pig). RNAcentral describes it as "lncRNA (ENSSSCG00005018155.1)". The record is from RNAcentral. Lineage: Eukaryota; Metazoa; Chordata; Mammalia; Artiodactyla; Suidae.
UUCCCAGGCCAGGGACUGAACUGGAGCCACAGCAGCGGCCAGAGCCACAGCAGUGACAAUGCCAGAUCCUUAACCCACUGAAUCACCAAGAAACUCCAGGAAAAUUCUUAAGAGUUUAUUACUUCCAUUGUUUCCUUUAGCCACCGGAGUGUGGAUAUAUGACUGGUAUUAUUUUACCAUCAAAAAGAUCCCGCUUUAUAGUAAACAACCAUAUUAUUCACUUUUAUUUCCUUGAAAGUAGUCGGCUACAUGAUAACUGUGUUUUUGGAAAGACUUUCAAAUAAGAAUAAUUAUAUUGCAUAACCAGAACCACUAUGUUUUUGGUUAACGUAGGUAUUAUCAUCAAGACCUUAACACUGUGCCCACAGAGUCAGAUCAAGCCACCAAAGGGAUUCUAACCGAUGUCACUCUAAUCCUGAAGCAUUUGUGGCACUCACAAAGAGGAAGCACAUAAAAAAGACUCCAAAAAGAAUGAUACAGUAAACAGAUUAACUGAAUCCAAUCAAGUGAUUUGAUAACCUGCCUGGGAAUAGACUCAUGAAUUAGGAAUGUGUUUAGAUUCUAAAGAAGCAGGAUGAUAAGAAUACCCUAUCUUAAGAAUAAAGCAACUAUAAGGUAGAGAGAGCUCUGUGUGUGCCCCUAGUUUGGGGAAAAGACAUAUCCAUUAUCCUAAGGAUUUCUUUUCUUUUCUUUUCUUUUCGUUUCUUCUCUCUCUCUUUCUUUCUUUCUUGUCUCUUUAGGGCCACAACUUGGCAUAUGGAAGUUCCUAGGCUAGGGGUCAAACUGGAGCUGUAGCUGACAACCUACUCCAUAGUCACAGCAACGGCCAGAUCUGAGCAGCAUCUGUGACCUACACCACAGGUCAUGGCCACACCAGAUCCUUAACUCACUAAGCAAGGCCAAGGAUCGAACCUGCAUCCUCAUGGAUACUAGUCAGGUUUGCUACUGUUGAGCCACAACGGGAAUUCCUUAAGGAUUUCUCUGGUCAUUGAGAAAUCAUAGUGGGUUGAGAAAGCAAUCCUCAAAAUUACAAGCAUCUUUAAACCUAGUAAGAGUUAUAAUGAAAUUUAUAAAAGUUUGAGAAGCAAGCCCACAUGUUAGCAUUUCUGUACCUAUUUGGUAUUUUAGCUAUCCAUAAUGUCUAAGAGAAAUAUGCCAGAAUAACAGAUUUGCCUUGUGAUUCCAACUUAAAUAAUGAAUUGAGAAACUGAGUUUAGGCUUGUGUAAAAUUCCACUCAAACAUAUAACAGAACUUAAAUCACAUAACUGACAAAGGAUUUAUAUUUGGGAUAUAUAAAGAAUUGUCAAAAGUCGGAGUUCCCAUCGUGGUGCAGCGGAAAUGAAUCCAACUAGGAACCAUGAGGUUUGCAGGUUCCAUCCCUGGCCUCGUUCAGUGGGUUAAGGAACUGGUGUUGCCAUGAGUUGUGGUGCAGUUUGCAGAUGAGGCUCAGAUUCCGAGUUGCUGUGGCUGUGGUGUAGGCCUGCAGCUACAGCUCCGAUUCAAUUACUAGCCUGGGAACCUCCAUGUGCCACGGGGGUGGGGGGGGGGGCGCUAAAAAGCAAAAAAAAUUAAAAGUUUCCUCCCAUUAAAAUAAAAUCUAUUAAGACUAAAGAAAUCAAACUCCAAGGCUAAGAUCUGAUAUCUUCCCUCUUUAAACAGUUGAAGCAUAUUUAGGAGGCCACAUAUCUUUAAAGUUAGAAUGUGGAGUUCCUGUCAUGGUACAGUGGAAAUGAAUCCAACUAGGAACCAGGAGGUUGUGGGUUCAGGUUUGAUCCCUGGCCUCACUCGGUGGGCUAAGGAUCUGGCAUUGCUGUGAGCUGUGGUGUAGGCUGGCAGGUGUAGCUCCGAUUAGACCUGUAGCCUGGGAACCCUCCAUAUGCCGUGGGUGAGGCCCUAAAAGCAAAAAAUAAGUAAAAAAUAAAGUUAGAACGUGUGAAGUAAUAAUACAUUUUUGUAAAAAAAAUCAUUCAAGAUAACAAUCUCAUUUGUCUCUCAACUUCUAAUUUCCUAAAACAUUUAAACCUGAAAAGAUCAUUAUAAUAAUUACAGGACAUUUUAAAUAAUAUGAAAUUAUUUCUAUCUUUUACCUGUUGAUCCAAACAUGGUCAACACUAAGACAGAUGUAUAUAAGGUGGAAACAAGAGAAGCACUGUUAGAACUCUUCAAACUAAAAGCUAAUCUCCCCCCCCCAAAAUUAAUAUUUCUUUCCAUUCAGGGGUAGGUAUAGAUCAUGUAGUAGAGAAAAAAUAUUAUUGCCUAAUGAAGUUAGAAAAGCCUAAGAACCAAAUGGGAGUUUUAAGAAGAAAAGGAGAUAAGUCAGUGAAGUUUUAAUUGGACGUUGCCCCAAGGUAGAAAACAGUAUGUGUCCAAAUAUUUUUUAUUGAAGUUGGAGCAAUGCUUAGUAUUUGUCAACUUUUCCAUUAUACUAUCCCAGUGAGAAAAGAAACUUAAAACAAACACAAGUCGCAAUUGCCUUUCUGGGUCUCUGGCUCCUGUCAACUACUUAUCUAAAAAGAAAUCAGAUAUGCCUCCCUGCUUUUCAAAGGACUGCUUCAAAAAACCAGGAGAAAAAAUCUGGACAUCUUUAAUCUUUCUGUAUCAUUUAAACUAUGGAGAAAAGUAAAAUGAAAAGUAAAAUCCUUACUUUCACAUGCGUUACACUUUCCUCACCAACGGGGAGGUGCAGAGAGCAAUGUCAUGGCAGAACCCUGGUCUCAAGUAUCGCCUUUCUACAUCGCCCUCUUCCCCAUCCACUGACUUUUAAGGUCAUCGUUUUAGAAUACCUGCUGGUAGGUUUUCUCCAAGAAAUGCAGCCUUAAAAUGCCUCACGGUAAGCAGGCACCAAAGGAAACAAAUAUGUGUGAAACAACAAAGUCCAAGAAAAAAAAAUCCUACUUGUCCUUUCUAUUGUAAUAACCACAUGAAUGUGGCAGGCAGAAAUCUGCGCUUGCCCUUACCGUUCCCUUCACGUGGUGAGCGGCCUGUGGAGGGUGGCCUCUAGAAGCUGAGGGUGCAUCCCAGCCAACAAUCAACAAGAAAGUGGUCCUACAACAACCCGGCACUGAAUGCCACCAACAGCCGGUGAUCUUGGGAACUUGGCACGGGACUCUGAGCCUAAGAUGAUAUCAUGUUCCCAGCUGACACCUAGAUUUCAGUCUGGUGAAAUCCUGACAAGGGGAACCAGAUCAUCGGUGCCCAGAAUCCUGACAAACAAGAAAGGCAAGAGAAUAAAUGUGUUUUGCUUUAAGGCACUAAAUUUGUGGUAACUGAAAGUGGGAUUCUGCCAUAACAGUAAUUAAAAAUGUGGGCGCAGCUUUGAAGUUGGGUAGUGAGCAGAAACGGGAAGAAUUUUGAGAAAGCCUAACUUGCUUUGAACAAAUUUACUACAUAUCUGGACUUGAAUCUAAAUAGUGUUGGUG